RNAcentral lists this small RNA (955 nucleotides) under Malus domestica (apple). RNAcentral's name for it is "sRNA MD03G0137200". The stretch from base 62 to 148 matches the Rfam family "MIR398 microRNA precursor family". The record is from RNAcentral. Lineage: Eukaryota; Viridiplantae; Streptophyta; Magnoliopsida; Rosales; Rosaceae.
AGAAAGAAACAUGUAGUACAAUGGAGCAAGGAAGUUGUACAGAGAUAAGCCAAAGCGGUAGAGGGGUUCCACAGGAGUGACCUGAGAUCACAUGUAGCAUUUAUGUAUUGCGCUUGAUGUGUUCUCAGGUCGCCCCUGCGGUACCUUCUCUACCAUAUCAUUGCACUGCUGUAGAUUUGAAUGGACAUUGACAACGGACCCGAAGUGUUACAUUGAAAGGUCUCAUGGCACUACAUUGUUUUAGUUCCCACUUCUCUUCUCUUCCUAGUAAUCCAGGAACCUUUUCUGCGACAUUAUUGACAUCCCGCCAGAAAACCCAACAGCUCGAGGCAACAUUCCAAUCGGACGCCGGUUCCAUGAUUUGGCGAGAACCCAUUUGUUCGUAUUUUCGACAUCAGCAUCUGUCUUCUUCAAUUCCUUGCUCUUCAUUUUGCGACAUUAAUCAGUUGUAGCUUUUUUGCCGCUUGACUUAUGAUUCAUCUUGCUUUAUAUAUAGAUUAUUUGUAUUUUGAAGAACACUAGAAGAACAUCUUCUGCAGUAUCCGAAUGUGAUGAAACUCAAAAGCAGUCCUUUGUCAGCUGUGCAAGAUGGAGGAGAGAAUCCGUGAGCCUGUUAUUAGCAAAAGCUGAUACAACAAGCCAUUUGCAUAGGAGCUCAACCAGAAUUGCUUUGGAGAUGGUUUUUUUUCUGCUCAAGAAACUUUUAGUUCCGCUUCAAAAUCUUUUUCAUGACGAGGUUCUAAUUCUUUGAAAUUUCCGACAAGCCGUGUGAACAGAGAUGAGAGGGGUUCAACCUCUGCCCUGGCAACCAGGAUAAGAACAUUUGGAUACUUUCAAGUUUUGAGCACUUGAGAAAUCCAUCAGACGCUCAAUUUUGGUGAAGCAGAAGACUUUGUAUAUCCAGCUUUACACGACGUUGAAUUCAUGCUAGGAACUGAGAGUAUCAAAUGCAUAA